CCUACGGGUGGCAGCAGUGGGGAAUAUUGGACAAUGGGGGCAACCCUGAUCCAGCCAUGCCGCGUGUGUGAAGAAGGCCCUCGGGUUGUAAAGCACUUUCAGUGAGGAAGGACGCCUGGUGGUUAAUACCCAUCAGGAAAGACAUCACUCACAGAAGAAGCACCGGCUAACUCCGUGCCAGCAGCCGCGGUAAUACGGAGGGUGCGAGCGUUAAUCGGAAUUACUGGGCGUAAAGCGCGCGUAGGUGGCUUGAUAAGCCGGUUGUGAAAGCCCCGGGCUCAACCUGGGAACGGCAUCCGGAACUGUCAAGCUAGAGUGCAGGAGAGGAAGGUAGAAUUCCCGGUGUAGCGGUGAAAUGCGUAGAGAUCGGGAGGAAUACCAGUGGCGAAGGCGGCCUUCUGGACUGACACUGACACUGAGGUGCGAAAGCGUGGGUAGCAAACAGGAUUAGAUACCCUUGUAGUC
This 465-nucleotide ribosomal RNA is filed under the name Vreelandella stevensii. RNAcentral describes it as "partial 16S ribosomal RNA". It matches the Rfam family "Bacterial small subunit ribosomal RNA", at positions 338 to 795 of the family's 1533-position model. Lineage: Bacteria; Pseudomonadati; Pseudomonadota; Gammaproteobacteria; Oceanospirillales; Halomonadaceae. The record is from RNAcentral.